Molecule: long non-coding RNA, 427 nt
Organism: Hyaena hyaena (striped hyena)
Lineage: Eukaryota; Metazoa; Chordata; Mammalia; Carnivora; Hyaenidae
Exons: 3
Source: RefSeq, a predicted model, not a curated record
ACAGGCUGUUGGCACCCCUGGGCAGGUGAGGCGCUCAGGCUCCAAGGAGAGGAAACCCGAGCUGUGAGAGAGACCGUCAGAGGACCAGGGGGGCCUUCAGAGGGCAUCUGAUCACUCAUACCCUGCUUGCUCCGUUUGGGAAUUACUCCUUGCCUAUGAAUUCCUAAAGAUCCUCCGGAGACCACUAGACCCACCGGGGUGCUCUUGAGCAGGAAAUACUGCUUACGGGCUUAACAGUAUGCAAGCCUAAGUGUGAAGCACUUCACCGCUCUCACAUGUGGAUGGAUGGGGCGCCAGGCAGAAUUGAAGUUAUCUCCUUUAGCCAAACGUACAAUGUGAACGACAGCCAUAACAGCAUCAAGAAGUUUGAUUCUGGGUAAAAAUACCAAUAUUCUUGUGUAAUAAAGAAAGUUCUACUUAAGACUUA